Long non-coding RNA from Homo sapiens (human), 501 nucleotides. The record is from Ensembl. NCBI's taxonomy places the organism in Eukaryota, Metazoa, Chordata, Mammalia, Primates, Hominidae.
CAUACACACAUCUUUUCAUCCAUCACUCCUCCACUAUCUGUGUAUCUACUCAUCCACCAUCUACUCUUACACUUAUCCAUCCAUGCAUGGAUUCAUCCAUCUGUCCAUGUUACAAACAUUUAUUGAGCAAUACACCAGACAUCAUACUAGGCUCUGGGAGUAGACUGAUGAGCCCUCAGGGUGCUUCCAGUCUACUGGGGAGACAGAAAGGAAAAUAAACAAGUACGGGGUGGUAAGUUCUCUGAUUAGGUAGAGUGAGGGGAGAUGCACGAGGAACAAGCAAAGGCACCUUGCUCAGACCUGGGCACCUAGGAAGGCUUCCCACAAAAGCUGCAUCUGAAGGAUGAAUAUGAGGUGGACAGGCAAAGGAAUGGGGACAGGCAAACAACAUGUGCGGCAAAGAGACCAGCCCAUGCAAAGACACAGAGCUGCAAGAUAAACAGCUCACCUGGAAUGCAGCAUGUGAAGCGAGGAGAGGGCUUGGGACACCUGCUGUCCUGC